GACGAACGCUGGCGGCGUGCUUAACACAUGCAAGUCGAACGGAAAGGCCCUGCUUUUGUGGGGUGCUCGAGUGGCGAACGGGUGAGUAACACGUGAGUAACCUGCCCUUGACUUUGGGAUAACUUCAGGAAACUGGGGCUAAUACAGGAUAGGAGCUCCUGCUGCAUGGUGGGGGUUGGAAAGUUUCGGCGGUUGGGGAUGGACUCGCGGCUUAUCAGCUUGUUGGUGGGGUAGUGGCUUACCAAGGCAUGGACGGGUAGCCGGCCUGGGAGGGUGACCGGCCACAUUGGGCCUGAGAUACGGCCCAGACUCCUACGGGAGGCAGCAGUGGGGAAUAUUGCACAAUGGGCGGAAGCCUGAUGCAGCAACGCCGCGUGCGGGAUGACGGCCUUCGGGUUGUAAACCGCUUUCGCCUGUGACGAAGCGUGAGUGACGGUAAUGGGUAAAGAAGCACCGGCUAACUACGUG
Molecule: ribosomal RNA, 468 nt
Filed under: uncultured bacterium
Lineage: Bacteria
Description: partial 16S ribosomal RNA
Rfam family: Bacterial small subunit ribosomal RNA
Source: RNAcentral